AUCUAGCUGACGAGUCUCAAAUAGGACGAAACGCGCGUCCUCGAU
RNAcentral lists this non-coding RNA (45 nucleotides) under Schistosoma mansoni. The record is from RNAcentral. Lineage: Eukaryota; Metazoa; Platyhelminthes; Trematoda; Strigeidida; Schistosomatidae.